Lolium perenne is the source of this 1128-nucleotide non-coding RNA. NCBI's taxonomy places the organism in Eukaryota, Viridiplantae, Streptophyta, Magnoliopsida, Poales, Poaceae. The record is from RefSeq and is a predicted model, not a curated record.
CGCCGACCGCCGCUGCCGAGGACGACGCCGACGCGUCGCUCUCGGUGCGGGACCUGGACGCUACUGCAUGAUCGAUUGGGAUCGGAACGACGCCGUAGCUCCUCCAUUCACGCCCGGAUUGAUCGAUCCGAAUCCGAUCGAGAUACUGCGAGUCUGCGAUAAUCGGCGCGGAUUUGGUCGAGGAAUUCAUGGAAUGGAUGUAUUUUUUUUCUCGAGGGUAAUGGGCGCUUGAUAUGGGCCUUUCCUCCAUCGGCCACUUGGGCUUUCGACCCGUAAGCACUUAAAGUUCAGACACGGAACUAGUGGGCUAGAGUCGUAUAGUUGCCAUUCUACCGAGAGAAGAAAGCUUGAAAGCGGCGACGGGUGGAUGACGGACGGCGGCGACGCCGACGCGUGUGGCUGGCUUCGGCGGCCACCCCGCCGAUCCGGCGCCCCGAUGGAGGCGUUCAGGACUCGGAGGAAGCUGUCGGCUCAUGCUGUGGUCGAGCAGUGGCCGGUACGUACGAGCAAGGACGAAGGGGAGGUUUGGUCGUGUCAAAGUUAAUCGAGACGAUUUAACACUCCAGGGACAUCAUAGCCCCGCCUUGUGCCAAGGAAAAAACAAAGGAUGGCGAAGUCCAGUAUUAAUUGGACUGGUGAUGGAUAAAGACGAAAAUUCAACACAGACCAUAGCAGAGAUGGCCGGCAAACGACCGCCAGGAGAGCAGACUACAGGUCUCCUAUGACAAUGGACGAAACGUGGAAACCUCACGGCUUGUCAUGGGACUCACGGCAUACGACCGUAUACUAGGUUAGACUUCAGACCAUAGUACAAUUGUGUCAGUUGAAGACAAGUUACUAUUCAAGGGAACAAAGCUCCAGGCUAGAGCCGAGGCACUAGUCUUGUGGGUUUGCAUUAUUUUUUCUUUCCCAGGAAAUUCCUCUGGGUUUUUUUCUUUCCCAGGAGAUCUCUUGAAGCACAGUCAUGUUUUUGCAAUGUUUUUUCAAACAUGUGGGCCUCAUGGGGCUGAUAUUUUAGGAAAUUUUAAUGGGGCUGAUACUGUUAAGUAUAUCUGUAAGAUACCCCAUGUUUGGAUGUUGGUGUUGAUUUGAUAUCCCUACUAUUCAAGUGGAAAACUUCAUUUUAUA